Molecule: ribosomal RNA, 422 nt
Filed under: Fusobacteriota bacterium
Lineage: Bacteria; Fusobacteriati; Fusobacteriota
Description: Fusobacteria bacterium partial 16S ribosomal RNA
Rfam family: Bacterial small subunit ribosomal RNA
Source: RNAcentral
UGGGGGAUUUUGCACAAUGGGCGCAAGCCUGAUGCAGCGACGCCGCGUGAGGGAUGAAGGCCUUCGGGUUGUAAACCUCUUUCGCUGGGUUGAAAGGCCAUGCUUUGGGUGUGGUUGAUUUGAACUGGUAAAGAAGUACCGGCUAACUACGUGCCAGCAGCCGCGGUAAUACGUAGGGUACUAGCGUUGUCCGGAUUUAUUGGGCGUAAAGGGCUUGCAGGUGGUUUGUCGCGUCUGUCGUAAAAUCCUGUGGCUUAACCAUGGGCUUGCGGUGGGUACGGGCAGGCUUGAGUGCGGUAGGGGAGACUGGAAUUCCUGGUGGAGCGGUGGAAUGCGCAGAGAUCAGGAGGAACACCGGUGGCGAAGGCGGGUCGCUGGGCCGUUACUGACGCUGAGGAGCGAAAGCGUGGGGAGCGAACAGG